This 1136-nucleotide long non-coding RNA is filed under the name Vigna radiata. RNAcentral describes it as "long non-coding RNA (VRAD_LNC010162)". Lineage: Eukaryota; Viridiplantae; Streptophyta; Magnoliopsida; Fabales; Fabaceae. The record is from RNAcentral.
UUGUUCCUUUUGGGUUUAGCAUGUAAUGUAGCACUUUGUUACUAAUACACGGUUCCUUGAUGGUGUUGAACUACAUGUCAUUUGCAAUAGCACAUGUAUUGUCGCUUAUGUGGUUCUGAUGAAUAAUUAUUAUGUAGGAAUUGAAGCUCGAGGUUUUAGAUUAAAAAAAUGAGCUUUUUACAGUAUUGUUGAGUUUCAUGGGAAUCUUCGAUUUUCAACUAAGCUCCUCACUAGGUAUCUAAACUAAGUAGUUCUUGUACAUGUUAAAUAAUUGAGUAUUUGCAGUAUAAACUGUAAUGAAGUGUAUAAUCUUUUAUUUUUAAUUCCCCUAGAAAUUAUUUAUUUUAGUUCUUUAUAUAUCCAAUUCUUUUAAUAGUUCAGUUACAUUCACUUUUCAUUUUGUGCUAGUUUUUAUGGUUUAUGAACGUGAGAGACUAAAAGGAUAUAUCCAGCGAUAGUGUAAAAUUAUUGGACUAUUUACAUAUAUGUUAAUUUGUUUUCAUAUAUGUCUUAGUUAUGCUGGACUGGACAUUUUAUAAGCUAUUUUUAUUAGUUUUUCCUAACUUGCAUACGUGCAUAAAAUAAGAUUCAACAAAACUUAUAACUAUAGUUAAUGUUGGGUUCUUUAAGAGGAAGUAUCUGAAACAUUCGGCACAAAUCAACCAUGAGGCAACCCAUAUAAGAAAACUCCAACACCAGCUCUAACCAUAUUUUGUGUUGUUUUUUAGAUGAUAUCGACAUGCUUAUUUUCCUUUCUCCAUCUUGGUUUUGUAGAGUCUUGUUUGAUAUCACCUUUGGUUACAUUUUGUUCUGCAUUAUCCAUAGGGAACAUGUGCAAUUUGCCUGAAUUCCAUGAAACUAGGGCAGGGACAUGCCAUAUUAUAUAUCUAUCUCAUUUCAGGCAAGCUCUUCAGUUGCACAAGAGUGACCCCGGACCAGUUAUUCUAGACAUUAUUAAUACAAUUGAAGGUGGCUCUCUAGUUGAUGUUUCAGUUGUUCGUUCUAUGUAAGAUGUUAUGCAUUUAUGUUAUAUUUCUUGUUGCUGUAAUGUCCUAGAGUUUUUAUUGUUAAAUCAUAGACAAGAGUCUGUAUCAUAUAUUUGCAUUGUGUUCCAUAUUCAAAUUUAUAUUAUUUUA